UUAAGUUCAGCGGGUAAUCCUGCCUGAUCUGAGGUCUAAAAGGUUGACUUUGGGUGUUUGAAGCUAUCAGCUUUGCAACGCUCGUCCUUGAUGAAUAGUCUAUUACAUCAAGUCAAUCCGAGGUUCGAAUUAGAUAUGCUAAUCAAUUACGGGCGAGCAGUCCAAUACAGACUGCAGCGCCCAGAAUCCAAGCGUGCGAC
This 200-nucleotide unclassified non-coding RNA is filed under the name Basidiomycota sp. RNAcentral describes it as "partial internal transcribed spacer 2". Lineage: Eukaryota; Fungi; Basidiomycota. The record is from RNAcentral.